CCGAGUAAAGAGUAAGAGUUUGAGAUCUAUGGUUAGGGAUCUUUGGUACGAGAUGAAGGUGGUUAGGAUAGAGAAGGAGUUUAGGGCAUGACGGUGGUGGAGACGGAGGAGGUAGGGUUCGGAGAUUAAGGAGUUAAAUUGCUUUGAAACUAAUCGGAGUUGUUGUAAUGUUUUGCCCGGAAGAAAAGAGAGGAUUUUGAGAAUAAUUUCCGGAGGCAGAGAAGAAGAAAACAUCUUUCCAAGUAAAUGGAGAAAUCUUGAAUGUGAAUGCGAAUAUAGGAGUAUGUAAUUUUAUGAUUUUGUUUGCCAAGGAUAUAGGUUAGGAAGUUUAAGUAUGAGAAAGUCAAAGUAUUCCGAUUUACUUUUAUUUAUUCGUAAAUUUUAGAUUUGAUUGAUGC
This 398-nucleotide long non-coding RNA is filed under the name Arabidopsis lyrata. RNAcentral describes it as "long non-coding RNA (ALYR_LNC002888)". The record is from RNAcentral. Lineage: Eukaryota; Viridiplantae; Streptophyta; Magnoliopsida; Brassicales; Brassicaceae.